Ficedula albicollis (Collared flycatcher) is the source of this 2433-nucleotide long non-coding RNA. RefSeq lists it as uncharacterized. The record is from RefSeq and is a predicted model, not a curated record. The transcript has 4 exons. NCBI's taxonomy places the organism in Eukaryota, Metazoa, Chordata, Aves, Passeriformes, Muscicapidae.
UUGUUAGGAGAAACAGCUUUACAAGUUCAGGGACACAAUUAAAGACAAUGAAAGGGAAUUGAUGGGAAUAAAAUGAAGAAACAUCAUAACAAAAAGAGUAAAACAAGGAAGAAAAGAACUCUGACAUAGUGGGGUGUCAGAGCUCCCAACUCAGGGGCACGAUAAAACCUGUCAGCUGAAAAGACAGAGUGGGAAAAAUCAAUUGGAGACCAGCGUGUUGUAACUAAAGGGAAGCAAACCACCAUGUCAUCAGCUGCUCCAAGAGUCCUGCAGAGAGGCCCAGGCUCCACUCACAUGGAGAAGCCAAGAAUAUGAUGGUUCCAAAGAAGCAAAGAGCAGCUCUUAGGAACAAACUCCAUGAGACCCACCCAGGUGAAGAUUCCUCGCAAGGCAAGGGUCAGGAAUGACAGCUGUCAUACAGUUGUGUCUGUCACUUAAAUGUACUGAAAUAAAGUCUGGUGUGUUCUCUGCCUUCCUGAGGUGCCAGAAUGGGAUUCUCUCUGUGCCACAGACUGAAUGGCAAAAGGAAUCCAGGGCAUGACUGACCUGGAAAGUACCACUGAGCAUCUGCAGGGAAAAGCAAUGGGGAAAGAAAACCUGUAGAGACCAGCAAGGCACUGAGAGCCUUUGGCCAAUCAAACAACUCCAGUUUACAGCAGUGGCUUUUUAAUUCCUAUUUUACAAUUUUCAGAUAUGCUGAACAAACUCCAUUUAAUUACUUCUAAAUUGGCUACGUUUGGAGAAUAAACAGAUAGUCAAUGUUUUCAUGAAAACAGAGUGACUUCCAAUACAAAGCUCAAUUCAAAAGUGGCAGAAAGGUGCCAGAGAGUGUGACAGGGUGUGAAGGGAUGUGAGGCCCAGCAGACAUCAGAGCAGUUUGUAUUGUGUAAUAAUUCAUUGCACACAUACUGGAAAUUGGUUUGAUUCUGGUUUCUGCAUCUAAAAAUUCAGAUGUGCCUCAGUACUACAGAAUACCAUGGGGAUUACUGGAUGCUCCUAAAGCUCUUGAAAGAUGUUCAGGAAGUGCAGACUUCCAGAAAUCAAAUCAAUUGAGCUGCUAAAUUUGAUUGGAAAGCGGAGGAAGACUUUUUAUCUUGUUUUCUAAAGGCAAUAAAUGUGCAAGUACAUGACUGACCACCAAGGGUCAGUGUUUGGUGUUUUUACAUUCUGACAUCUUUUUUCCCAGGCGCUUGGAAAAUCCCUCUUAGAUUCAGUUCUGUAAUUAGGAUUUUUUUAACUGCCACUGUAUGGCAUAUGUGCUAUACAAAUUACAGGAAAAUUCAAGUGUCUGGAUAUGGGGCUUUUGUCAGCCAGCUACCAAGCUAUGCCUGAACGGAGUAUUGUUCAUAUUCCUGGAUAUAAUGAUGCAAGUCCCAUUGAAAAUAAUAAAAAAAUCCUAGGAACUGCAUUUUAUUUUUAUGAAUAGCAAUUAAAUUAUUGUAGCAAAUGCCAUUCUCUGUUUUGUUAAGAAAGUUAAGACAGCCCUCGCUGAGAGAUUGUCAGGUGCUUUGUCAAGAUGGCAAGGGAUGCACUGUCAGGAGGAGUGAGCACAUUUUAAAUAAGUUCCUGUUGAGAGAAGUAAUUGAACCUGCCUUUAAAACGUAGUAACAGUGGAUAUCAGACAUCAGGAGACUGAGCUGCAGUCCUGGCGUCAGGUGCAGGUCUGGCUGGCCUCCCCUGUUUCUGGGAUGUUCAUAUAGGUCAUAAUCCUUGAUUGGCACAAACCCAGAAUGUACUGACAGACAUUCAUAUAAACUGCAGCUCAUGAAGAAAUCUCCAACCAGGCUUAAAAAAUAAACCCAAGCCACCUUACUCUACAUAAGGCGCAGAGAUCCCUUUGUUCCCCUUCUGCCCCACGGCUGAGCUCCAGGCACAGCUCCCCAGUGCUGGGGAGUUUCUGAUGUGGCCCCGCUUAGCUGUGACUUGAAAGAUAUAAAAACUGGGCAGAUCCCUGUGUGGAGCUGAUUUUAGUUCUCUGUAGACGCAGUGCUGACUCUGCUCUGUCUGGGUGAGCACUCAGUCUGACCUGGAUGCAGCAGCCAGGAGCACACGGAUGAGCUGAUCUCUCCUGACAUAAUCCCAGAUUACCCGACCUGCACAGCCUGCCUUGUUUUUUACAUGGAUCUCAGCCUCACUCCUUGCCCUAGCCAGUCUGGAUCACCCUUCCAGCACUGCCAUCCCUUAAGAAUAAUCAUUUCUGGAUGCUUCUGAAUGAGGACCAAGCCUCAAGGAAGGAGGUAAAAUUAUGGAAACUACAAAGUAAAGAGGGAUAAAAUAAACAAAAGCUACUAGAAAUUUAAAAAGAGCAAAAAGUACUAAAAAAAACCUAAAAUGAGCAUGCUAAACAGUACAAAUCCUAGCACAGAACUCUGGGGGAUUUUACUGUAAAAACCUUUUAUUCCUUAUUCUAUUUUUAAUAAGGAUUUAUUUUAA